CCCUAGCUGAUCCCAAGUCCCAAAUCCAUCGAAACCAGCCGCCACCGUCCCCUUCGGAGAGAAAAUAUCACCGUGUGCCGCGGCUGCCGCUCGCCUCCGCCUCCGCCGCUGGAGCGUGGCUGGGGUGCUGCGUCGGCGGCGGCGGCAGGGCCGGGUCGGCGGCGUGGUGCCACGCGACGGCGGCCGGCAGCAUGGCAGCGGCGUUGGAGCUGGAGGCUAUCCGGUGGGGGACCGCCAAGCUGCAGGGCGCGGGCAAGCGGCACCCACCCCUUCCUCUCGCGCGCCCAUCGAGCGCGGAAGCGGCGAGCUGUCGAGGCACCGGCGUCACUGCCGGCCAAGUCGCGCCGCGCCGCACCUCCUCCCAGCCGUCUAGCGACCUCAAGAAAUGCUCCAUGGUCUGAAUUCAUAGGUUCUGAGGUGAUGGUGAGAGCAGAUGAGAAUGGUGAAGACAUGUGCUGGCUUAGAUUGCUGCUUUCAUUGCUGAACCUGUGAUGGGUGCUGGCGGUGUUAUCGCUCCUCCAAAGACAUACUUUGAGAAGAGGUAAGGUUUGUCAAUCCUCCUCAUGUCGCCUUGAUGAUUCAUGAUGAGACGGCAGUGGAUUUUGGUUAGUGUGAUUUCGACACUUGGUUUUGCGUUUGGUAAGUGAACCUGAGAUUGUAUUUGGACUUGGUUGGGUUGGCGCAUAUGUAUUUUGACUUGUGAUUAUGUGUUAAAGUCAAUAACUGGCUGGUUUUGGUCAGAGUGAUAUACUGAUGUACUGAACCUGAUUAUGUGCCGAUGUAUUUUGUUUUGGCUAGUUAACCUAUAAUGUAUUCAUGGUCAGUGAACCUGUGAUUGUAUUUGAACAUGUGGCUGGGUUGGCCCAUAUAUAUUUGCACUGUAUUAGAAGAUCAUUGGAUUUUAUUGGCUAUUAUAAGGGCUGUAAUUUUUGUGCUA
Oryza sativa Japonica Group (Japanese rice) is the source of this 937-nucleotide long non-coding RNA. RefSeq lists it as uncharacterized. The record is from RefSeq and is a predicted model, not a curated record. Lineage: Eukaryota; Viridiplantae; Streptophyta; Magnoliopsida; Poales; Poaceae.